This 5834-nucleotide long non-coding RNA is filed under the name Homo sapiens (human). Its description in RNAcentral is "non-protein coding LINC01388:4". The record is from RNAcentral. Lineage: Eukaryota; Metazoa; Chordata; Mammalia; Primates; Hominidae.
AAUGACGCCGAUGACAGCGACAGCGUCGGCCGAGUGCUUCCCCUGCUCCGGGUCGUCCAGGCACCGGGUCCUCCUUCAGCACUCGCAGCACGCACUGAAGAAGACGCUACGGAAGUCUCCGUUUUCCAGACUCGGGGGAAUUAGGAAACGCGCCCGGCGACCCUCGGGCAGUAGCACCGGGCCAGGUUUGCUUUCGGAACCGCUGACGCCACUCGCCGCCUUUCCCGCCUGGGCCUCUCGCGGGUCGCAGGGGUGGAAGCCCGACCUGGGCCAGGGCCCGGAUUUCUUCCUCCCGGCCUCUGCGCCGCCGCCCCCGGUGCCAGGACGCGCUUUGCUCUCGCCGAGACCCAGACGCGCCGAAAGCCUCGCGCGGGCAGUUCCCCGCCCCACGCCCCGGGCUGCGCGUUCUCCCGCGAAGCCUCUGCCGAGUGCGCGCGACGGCGCCGCCGGACUCCCCCGGACCGCGCUCCCGCGCACGCCUGACCGGAGCACCCCGCUUCACGGGGGCGUUCUGCGCGUCCUUCCUCCCCGGUGCGAUUUCCGUUCUUUUUCCUCUCGCGGUCCCCAGGAGCCCAGGCACCCCUCGACGCCGCUGCCGGCGGAACCGGGAACCCUCCCCGGGGCUCCCUGCGGGCCCGAAGCCGCCUUCCCGAGGCGGCGGAGUUGGGCAGCUCCGGGCCCCGCGCCGCCCCGCGCCGCCCCGCGGAGCCGGAGUUUCUCUCCGGAGUCUGGACACAGCUCUCCGCUUCGUCGCCGCGCACUGGACCCCGGUAGCGUGGAGCCUGCCCGGGAAGCUGGGCUGCGCCGGCCUGGGGCGAAGGUCCAAGGGGCGCGGGGGCCGGGACGCGGGGCUGUGGCGACGACCGGCCCUCUGCGAACGCUCAGGCCGGCGGGUCCGGGGCCACAGGCUGGGAGUGGAGCUGGCGGCCACUGGGGAGUAGAGAGGACGCCCAGGAACAGGUGCACCAGGGUCCCGGCGGCUGGGCCGAGGGUCGCAAGCAGAGGGGACCGGCGGCUGCCAGCAAGUCCCAAGCAGAUGCCUCCGGCGGGGCAGCCGCAUUUUACAGCGCCCAUUCCGCGUACAUCGAGUAUCCAAAACGAGUAAAAUCGGUUUAUACGUUGGAAUGUAGCUUAUGAUUCCAAAAUCUCAUCUCCAGGCUGCCUAGAUCACACGGCCCCGUUUCAUUCAUUUUUACUGAAUAACGGUCGUUGGACAAUUUAGAGAAGCAGCAGAAACCACGAGAAAAACAGUGGAGUCAAACGGCGGUAAGGACCGACAAGGCUGGCGGGGACAUUGAGCAAACGGCGGCUUCUGAGUUGGCACCUGUCCUUCACCACGUUGUGUGGGAAGUGUGGGGAGUCGGGAUUCCCACUCCUCCCCAGCCUUCCGGAAAAAUGCUCGGAAAUUUCCUUCCACAUUGACACCUGAUUACAGUCUAAAUAGUAACCUUAUUCUGAUUGUUAAUGUAACCCUCUCGUAAUCUCUACAAAAAUACUUUAGUUUUUCUAGCUGUGUUUUCAUGUAAUCACUGAAAUUAUUUUUAAUUGGUUUUAAGCAUUCAUUGAUUCCAUUUACACCACCUGCAAAAAAGUUACAUAGGUGAUCGCUAACAAUACUAGAAUUCGCCCCAUCCAAAGGAAACAUUAGAGUAGAAAAAGAAAAAGGAUUUGAGAAUCCAGUAGGAAAUUCAGUUAAUCAUUCCUUCCCUGUUACUCAACUACCUUAACAUUGUCAGGUUUACCUGAACAUAAACUUCAUUUUCUUAAUUGUUCUUAGAACGAAGGGAUAUGUUUAUUGAAAUCAGUAAUUAAGAAUAUUUUGGGACAGUUAUGAUUUACUUAGCCAGUGAAGCAGUUUCUAUUCCCAAAUCCAGGCAAAGAGAACAAUAAGAUUAAACGUAACCUAAGAGAUUUCCUUUUUGUCAAAUAAUGUGAUUUUGCUAUGUAUAGAGGAGAUGUCUAUAUGUAAGGGCAUAUUUAUGACCAGUAGUUCCUAAAAUUAAGGGGACUAUUAUUGUGUUACUCAAGGUAUCAGUUGUAUAGGAUACAUUAUGUCAUAUUUCAAACAAUGUUUAUAAAGAGAUUAGUAUAAUUAACCUGUGUGUACUUCUCCUCUGGGCCAACCUUGUGUCUUCUUUAUCUGCUGACAGUCCUCUCCCCACUGAAUUAUUUUGAAUCAAAUCCCAGAUAGUCUAUCAUUGUAUUGUAUUUUUGAAUAUUUCUCUAAAAGAUAAUAAUUCCAUCAAUGAGACUGGGUGCAGUGGCUCCUCCCUGUAAUCCCAGCUCUUUGGGAGGCAGAGGUUGGAGGAUCACUUUAGGCCAGGAGUUCAAGACCACCCUGAGCAACAUAGCAAGACCCCAUUUAUAAAAAAGAAGAUUCCCAUCAACGUAACCACAAUACCAUUAUCACACCUAAAUAAUCCAUUAAUAGCAUCGGUUUAUCCAGGCAAUAUUUAAAUAUCUUCAAUUGUCUAAAAACUUUUUGUUUAGUUGGUCGGUUUGAAUUAGAAUGCUAAUAAGGGUUACGUAUUGUGUUUGGUUGAUAUGGGCUAUUAUAUCUCUUUUAGAUUUCCUCAAUCCUCUUUUUUUGUUUCCCUUGCAUUUUUUAUGGGAGAAACUGAACGGUUUGUUCUGAAGAAGUUGACAUUCUGGACUUUGUAGCUGCAGGUACAUGGGCUUCUACAAUUUCGUCUAUUUCAUCCUGCAGUUAUUUUCACGGGUCUCUGUGUCCACCACUAUCUGGAAUCUCUGAGAUGGUGAAAACGAAAUCUUAUUCUUCUUUAUAUUUCAAACAAUUCCUAGCACAUUAUCAAAAAUACCUGAUAAAAUUUAUUGUGUCUGUAAUACUGGUAAGCAUGUAAAAUGGUGGUAAAUAUAUAGGCUUUAAGUUUAGAUAGUUCUAAAUAUUAUUAAAAUUACCAAAUUAUUGUUUUUAAAAAGUAUUAGUUUCCUAGGACAAAUAGAGAUUUUUAGAUAAGGCUGGAUUUGUAAUACUUUAAGCAACAGGUCACAGUGCUUAAGUAUUUAAUGCCGAUUUGGCAAGCAGCUGAUGUUUUAUAUAAUGCUGUCGGGUAUUUUAUAUUUGCGUGUAUUUUCUGAUGCACUGGAUCCAGCACUUCAUGUCACGUCAUAUAUCUGUUUAUAAUGUAUACAAAUGUAUUUUCAUAUAUAUUUGAUGUUUGAUGGCUUUGAAACUUUAAUCUUGAAAUAGGUUUUAAAUUUUUAUUAAAACUAUUUAAAUAAUUACUGUAAGGAAAGAGCUCUUAUUAGUUGAAAGAAAAUGUAGAUUCAUGUUUCCUUGGAGACUAGUCUAGUUUCCAAGGAUAGACGGCAGUGAGGAGUCGGGUAUCUAGAUGGAAUUUCUGUUGGUUUGGAUUCCAGCUCUGCUGCUUACCAGCUUUGUGACCUCAGGCAAACAACUUAACCUCUCCAAGCCUCAAUUUCCCCAUCUAUAUAAUGGUGAUAUUUAUAAGUUUCACCUUAUAGGGCCACGGUGGGGAUUCCAUGAAAUAGUGUAUGUGAAGUGCUUAGCACAGUGCCUGGCACAUACUCAAUGCUCUAUGCAUGUCAGCUAGUACUUAAUGAUGCUAAUAAACAUGUUAUGUCCCUAAGCACGGGUGGGAUCUUGCCUGACGUCCUUCUCUCUGCGUCCUGGUCAGUCUUCACAUGGUGGGCAUCCUUUAUUUCCGGUCACACACGGGUGGUACACAGAGCAUGCUGUUUCUUUCGUGCCAGAAGGUUCCCGCUGCAGCUCUCCUGCUAGUUUAGCUUAGCCUUCUGGUUUGAGGGAUGAGUCACAUGUACCAUCACUUCCCAGGACCAACAGGACCUUUCAGGAAAGCUAUCCCCUGCUUACACAGAGAAUUGCCCUUGCCUAACACUGAAGCCUGGCAGAGUAACAUGAAAUAACCACAGCAAUUCUAAAAUUAGAAUUAGCACGCCUAGAAUAACAGGUAUAACCUUCUCUUGUACUUUAUCACUUGCUUCAUUUCUGCUCAGCCUAAUUUUCACUUGAUGUGUAGAUUUAUUUUUUGUUCACCCAUCCAGAAAAUGUUGACUGAGGAAUUACUCUGUGUUAGGCGCUGUUGUAGGAGCAAGGUAUACAAUGAUGAUCAAGGCAGAUGCAGCCCUUACCUUCAGGUCGUGGAGUCCGGAUACAGACUGGAGGCAGAGGCAGCUGUAAGAUGUGUGACAAAUGCUGCGCUGGAUCAGCCCAUGGUAUUAGGAGAGCAGGUAAGGAAGGGUGGGGACGGGAGCGGACAACCUGGAGGAAGAGGCAGCUAAGCAGAGUCCGGAAGGCUGAGGAGGAGUCAGCAGGUGAAAGAGAGGGAAUCAUGACAUGCCAUCUCAACUGUAGGGCACGGCUAGCUGGCUGACUUAGCUGCUGUAACACCGGAUUUUUGCAAGACUCCCUGAGUAUUUCUCGUGGACUUGCGAACAAAUCUGAGCAAGAAAACCACGUAAUUUCUUUUAUGCCCUGCCCAAGAAAGCCACCUGGAGGGGCAAGGCGACCUUAGCAGAAAGAAGCUGGAGGUGGGGGGAGAGCAGGGUGAUGUUACUCUCCGUAUGGUGGGGGGUGGACACCUCCCUGUCACAUGGCUCGUAAUAUCCAGCGGGGGAGAGGGGGUUGACUUUCCCCUACGUUAUUGGUAAUAUCACCUCCCUCUCUCCCGCUAAAUAUUAAGUACAAUAUCACAGGUGGGGCGUACACCCCCGGCGAUGUUUGAAGUAACAUCAACUUCUCCCCCUCUGGAUGUUAGAAACAAUAUCACAGGGGGGUGAACACCCCCCCUGCGAUCCUGGGAGUGACAUCAUCCUCUUUCCCCCGGAUAUUAGGAACAAUAUCACAGAAGGUGUUUACAACUUUUGCAAUGUUGGGAGUAAUAUCAUCCUCUCUCACCCUGGAUAUUCAGAACAACAUCACAUGGGAAUUGUACCCUUCUGUUUAUUGAGAGUAAUAUCAUCCUCUCCCUUUCUGUAUAUUAGAAACAAUAUCACAGAGGGCUGUGUACACCCCCAGGAAUGCUUUGAGUAAUAUUAUCCUCUCUCUGCCUGGAUAUUUGGAACAAUAUGACAGGAGUUGUGUACACCCACUGUGAUAUUCGGUUUAAUAUCAACCUCUAUCCCCUGGAUAUUGGGAGUAAUAUCUAUCUUUAGCCCCUGGAUACUAGGGACAAUAUCACAGGAGCGGUGUAUACACACGGCGCUAUUGGGAGUAAUAUCAUUUUCUCCACCGCUUGAUAUUAGGGACAAUAUAACAGUGGGGACGUGCACCCCCUGGGAUAUUGGGAGUAAUAUUAAUCUCUUCCCCUGUGGAUGUUAGGAACAAUAUCACAGAAGGGGUGUAUACCCCCAGCGAUAUUGGGAGUAAGAUCAUCCUCUCCCAACUUGGAUAUUAGGAACAAUAUCACAGGGGAAGUGUAUAACCCCUGCGAUAUUGUGAGUAAUAUCAUCCUCUCCCAAAAGGGAGAUUAGGAACAAUAUCACAGGAAAGGUGUACACCUCUUCUGAUAUUUGGGGUAAUAUCAUCUCCUCCCCUCAUUGAUAUUAGGAACGAUAUCACAAGGUGCGUACAGCCCCUGCGAUAUUGGGAGUAAUAUUAUUCUCUCUUCCCCUGGAUAUUAGAAAUAAUAUCACAGGCGGAGUGUACAGCCAACCCCCUGCGAUAUUGGGGGUAAUAUCAUCCUCUUUUAACCUGGAUAUUAGGAACAAUAUCACAGGGGGCUUGUACACUUCUUUUGAUACUGGGAGUAAUAUCAUCCUCUCCACAAGUAAAUAGUAGGAAAAAUAUCAAAGAAGGUGUGUACACCGCUUGUGAUAUUGGGAGUAAUAUC